Molecule: ribosomal RNA, 253 nt
Filed under: uncultured bacterium
Lineage: Bacteria
Description: partial 16S ribosomal RNA
Rfam family: Bacterial small subunit ribosomal RNA
Source: RNAcentral
GACGAACCGUGCGAACGUUGUUCGGAAUCACUGGGCAUAAAGGGCGCGUAGGCGGGCUACCAAGUCUGUGGUGAAAUCCUCCGGCUCAACCGGAGAACUGCCGUGGAUACUGGGAGCCUCGAGGGAGAUAGGGGCGUGCGGAACUGAUGGUGGAGCGGUGAAAUGCGUUGAUAUCAUCAGGAACUCCGGUGGCGAAGGCGGCACGCUGGAUCUCAUCUGACGCUGAUGCGCGAAAGCCAGGGGAGCAAACGGG